CCAGGUUACCAGGCCUUAUUAACAGUCCAGUCCACCAGUUAAUUAAUUAGACCAAUGAAUUAAUAAAUUCAUUUUUUUUUUCAUGUGACAGAUAAAUGGCAAUCUUGCAUAAAAUGAAAAAAUAGGAUUUAUGGUUAAAAAUCGUAAAUAUGUUAAUAAAUAGAUUAAAAAGAUCAACACACACAAGUUCAUUUAUCUGUUUUAAAAGGAGUAUUUUAUUUCAUUUCAAGCGUGGCGAAAGUGCCUUUCUCAAAGUGUAAAGGAUUCAGGUGACAUGAGGAGUUCACGUGAUAGUGUAACCAAUCAGACGCCACCAGGGCGUACAUGCGUGCUUCCGUUUUUUCUCUCUGCCUCUGCCGGAUCGUCUCCGAGGCAGCGGUGUGCUAGCCUCCUCCUGCAGACUAUGCCGAUUUUUUAGUCUGAGAGAGCCAGAUAUUCCAAGUCUGUCACUUUUAUCGUCAGAGCAGAGAGCGGAGCCUUUCCCUUUUUGCCAUGUGUAGAUGAGCGGACCGUGUGUUUUGCAACAGAAGCGGAGGAGAACCGGAAUCCUGGACUGAUGAGAGCCGUGUAUUGUGCCCUGUGCCCGGAGUGUGUGUGUAUGUGAACCGUGAGCCUCUGGCUGGGUCUUUUUUUUUCCUUUCCCUUGUAUGGAUUCCUGUGUUGAUCUGCGAGACAUCUUCUUCUACUGGGGAUUCUUCCUGUGUCUGUAAAGGUAGAACGGGACCUCAGUGGUCGUGGCGAGCCAACCCAAAAGACAGAGACUGGGAUUUAUACAGAGACUGUGAUUUGUUUAAAAAAGGCUGAUUUAUUGAGAACUGUGGUUGAUGUCUCAUGUCUGAAGAGCUGAAAAGUUAAAAUUGGUUUUUUUUAUUUAUUUUUCUACAACUUCAUUUUCAUUCAAUACAAUACAACACACUUAAAAAACUUACCUUUGAUGUGUGUGGGGUUCUUUACUCAGUCACUCAAUGCAUUUUGCUAAUGCACCCUUUCUCCUGUAGCGACCUAAACUUCUGACUACUGGUCCACAAGGUAAUUGAUGCACUGAUGAAAUAAAUAUCUGUAUCUCCCAGUCUUUUACCAUUAGCAGUUAGAGCUGAGGCAGGUUAC
This is a long non-coding RNA of Epinephelus fuscoguttatus (brown-marbled grouper), 1107 nucleotides long. RefSeq lists it as uncharacterized. Lineage: Eukaryota; Metazoa; Chordata; Actinopteri; Perciformes; Serranidae. The transcript is spliced from 3 exons. The record is from RefSeq and is a predicted model, not a curated record.